Molecule: ribosomal RNA, 477 nt
Filed under: uncultured bacterium
Lineage: Bacteria
Description: bacterial SSU rRNA
Rfam family: Bacterial small subunit ribosomal RNA
Source: RNAcentral
UAGUCCACGCCGUAAACGAUGAGUACUAGUUAUUAGAGGUAUUGACUCCUUUAGUGACGCAGCUAACGCAUUAAGUACUCCGCCUGGGAAGUACGGUCGCAAGACUAAAACUCAAAGGAAUUGACGGGGGCCCGCACAAGCGGUGGAUUAUGUGGUUUAAUUCGAAGCAACGCGCAGAACCUUACCAAGGCUUGAAAUCCUAGGAAUCCGAUGUAAUGGUCGGAGUGCUCGCAAGAGAAUCUAGUGACAGGUGCUGCAUGGCUGUCGUCAGCUCGUGUUGUGAAAUGUUGGGUUAAGUCUCGCAACGAGCGCAACCCCUAUCUUUUGUUGCCAGCAUUAAGUUGGGCACUCUAGAGAGACUGCCCGGGUUAACCGGGAGGAAGGUGGGGAUGACGUCAAGUCCUCAUGGGCCCUUAUGCCUUGGGGCUACACACGUAAUACGAUGGUGCAUACAGAGGGGACGCGAUCGGGGUGACC